RNAcentral lists this long non-coding RNA (3439 nucleotides) under Homo sapiens (human). Its description in RNAcentral is "PREDICTED lncRNA (TCONS_00205839)". Lineage: Eukaryota; Metazoa; Chordata; Mammalia; Primates; Hominidae. The record is from RNAcentral.
UUUUAAAGUAAUGUUUUAGUUUCCAAUCCUCAACAGUAAAGUGAUUCAGACUAAACUAUCAUACCUUCUUUUUUUGGCACUCUUUCAUGCAUAGGCCUGACUGAGGGGUCAGUCUUUUGUGUUAAAGAUACUUCAUAUGACUCUCUGUUCUUAUUCCUUAAUUCCUCAUAUGUAAUAUUUUUUCUUUUAGGACUUUCUUCAAGGUUGGGAUCAGGUCCUAAAACAACAAACAGUUAAUAAAUGGUAAUAAAAGGAUUUGUAUAACUCUAAAGCAACUAAAUUUUACAAAUGCUCCUUACAAAAGGAGCUACAAUCAAAAUAGAAUAAAGAAUCAAAUUAUUACCACCAUUUCACAGGUACUAUACUUUCACCAAGAUAAUCAUCAAACUGAAAUCUACUUCCACCCAUAUUUUUAAGCUUUUAUUUCUAAAAAUUAAAAUGGACAUCAAAAAUUUUAAAAACUAAACCACAGCCAGAAGAAAAAUAUGUAUCAUAAUAUAUAACAGUACAAUUUAAACUCAUUAAAAUACCAGUGUUUUAAACUGGAGUUACUCAUACUGUAUACAGAAUUAAAAGAGAAAUAUAUUCUACUAGGGACAACUGAAUAAAACUUGACAUAGCAUAGAUUUUACUCAAUAUAUAGUUAAAUAGUCCUAUAACCACAGACUCUAUGAAAACAACUCCAGCUAUUUUCAAAAAUCAUUUAUUUUACCUUUUUACAAAAUUUAAACAAAAAUACUGAAAAUAGGCCAGGCACAAUGGCUCACAACUAUAAUCCCAGCACUUUGGAAGGCCGAGCCACUGCACCCAGCCAUUUUCAACCAUAAACAUUUAUUCUGCUAAAUAAAUAUAUACUAUACUUAUAUAAAGCAAAGAGGAUUUAAAUUUCUCCUAAUUAGUUCUAGUAUUAUAUGAUGGUUCAAAACUACAUUUUUCUUACUAAAAAAAGAAUGUAAAGAAAAAUAUUAUAACCUUAUAUUGGGAUUAAAACACUUUGCAUUUCAUUAGUAAUAAGUAAUUACUGAACUCAUUUCCCUUCACCAUAUAUGUUAUAUUAAAAAUUCUGAAGGAAAUCGUGUGUACUUCAGGAACCUUGGGUUCUUAACCCCACUCUGCUGACAAUUAGGAAAUGUCCUUGGGCAAAUCACUAAGCUUCUUUGAAUCCUGGUUUUCUCAAUUGCGAAAUAUGGUAGUUUGAGCAGAUGAUCUCUGAAGUUCCUUCCAGGUCUAAUACUUUUUCUUAUAAAAAAUAUUUUACCAUUAUAAAAUUCUGGAACAAAUAAUGAAAAUAUACAUCAGACAGAAGAAGACUGGGGAGAAUUUCCCACACUAUGGAGAGAACAUGAUUUACUAUUUUGGGAAGGUUAUAAAGAACUGGAAGGAAUAAAAAAAUGUAAAGUGGCACUGAUUUAAAUCUAACUGUAAUAAACUCUAAGUCUCCUAACAGCUCUGAAGGAGUGCUUGCUAUUUUAAAAGAUUAAUAACUCUCUGAAUUCCUGGUAAAAGAAAGCAGAACUAAAGUAGGACUUAAACCAAAGAAUAAGAUGCCCUGGUAGGGGAGGAUAGCAUCUGGGGCAAAGCAAAAGCAGGCCACUGCUGGCCCAUGUGGAGAGCAGUAAAAAAGUAGCCACUUUGAUUUAGAGAAGGGGGUCAGAAGGCAGAGCAGUGGAUGGAUGGAUGGCUGCUGUGGAAGGCAUAAAAUAAUAUUAAGACAUGGCCUUGCUAAGUAGUCUGUGGGUAGAUACCAAAGGGCUUUUUGUUUGUUGGCUUUUGUAUGGAAAAAAACUAUAUAACAGAAUUUCCUAAUGCAAAUGGUGGGGAAGAUGCAAGUCAUCACAAGGAAAGAGUUAGUGCAUGUCUAGAAUACAGUAGUGCCCCCUUAUCUGUGGUUUCGCUUUCCAGGGUUUCAGUUACCUGCAGUCAACCAUGGUCUGAAAAUAUUACAUGGAACAUUCCAGAAAUAAACAGUUCAUAAAUUUUAAAUUACACCCUGUUCUGAGUAGUGUGAUAAAAUCUUGUGAGGUUCUGCUCUGGUCCAUCCAGGACUUGAAUCAUCCCUUUGUCCAGCAUAUCCACACUGUCUACACUACAUGCCUGUUAGUAACUUAGUAGCCAUCUAGAUCAAAAAAACAUAGAACAUAAAGGAUUUGGUAAUAUCUGAGGUUUCAGGCAUCCACAGGGGUCUUCGAACUUAUCCCCCAUGGAUAAGGGGGGACUACUGUACAAGAAGAAUGGAUUUGAACUUCAGACUGGUUAAAUGAGACAUAGUGAGGAACAAGGACAGCUGCCUUUGGAGAUAAGAUAGUGACUUUAGCCAUUCUCUCCUAAUCUGCCCAUUCCCUUCCUUCCUUUUCUGACUAAUUUGAUGCCUUUGCUUCCAACCAUUAAAGAAAAAAAUAAAAAAAUCAGAGUUGAGGAUUAAGAAGCUCUCAAUAACUUUCAUCCAAAUUCUUUAAUCAUCUGAACUUCCAUUCUUUCCUGUCUCUUCCUUUAUACAAGGCUAAUACUCACCCCUUUGCCCCGACUUUUGCUCUUAAGUAGUGCUGUCCAACAUAACUUUCUGCAAUGAUGAAAAUGUUCUAUAUUGGCACUAACACGGUAGCCACUAGCACAUGUGACUAUUGAGCAAGUGAAAUGCUACCAAAGCAAUUGAGAAAUUGAAUUUUAAAUUUCAUUUAACUUUAAUUAAUUUAAAUAGCCACAUAUGGCUAGCGGCUACUCUGACCUACCUAGAACCCCCUUCUGCAUUCUCUAGAACCUUCUCUGACCUAUAAUCAACUUCUCCCUUUCCACUGUAUACCCUCCCCUCCCUUUAACUUCUUUCCCUCUAAUCUUUUAAAAUUUAAAGAGUAUACUCUACAAAGGUCCAUAAUCCCUUAUCCAAACCUUGGGGUCAGGUAUGUUUCACUAUUCAAAGUUUCUGAGGUUUUAGAAAAAUACUACAGUAAAUACCCCUUAUAUUACUUAAUAUCCAUCCAUUCAGAGGUUUAGGACAGGAAUGAGUAAGCAAACACAUUAAUAUUUCUAUAAUGAAAUAAAGGAAAAAUCUUAUCUGGCAAAGUAAAUAAAGUCUACGUUUAUAUAACUUAUGUGAAUUUAGGUCAGGGUAUUCUGCUAAAUGAAUUCAGGUCAGAUUUUAUUACCAGUUUAAUUAUUAAAAAACAAAAACAGGCCGGGGGCAGUGGCUCACACCUGUAAUCCCAGCACUUUGGGAGGCCGAGGCGGGCGGAUCACGAGGUCAGGAGAUCAAGACCAUCCUGGCCAACACAGUGAAACCCCAUCUCUACUAAAAAUACAAAAAAUUAGCCGAGCGUGGUGGCGGGCACCUGCAGUCCCAGCUACUCAGGAGACUGAGGCAGAAUGGCGUGAAGCUGGGGGGGCGGAGGUUGCAGUGAGCCGAGAUCGCACCACUACAGUCCAGACUGGGCGACAGAGCAAG